CAUUCUCCCCAACGGCGUAUAAAUAGCCCUAAUCGACCGAAUGAUAGGCUUUCUCGAAGUCUACCUUAAAUAACAAAAGCUUCUUUUUAGACUUGCACACCUCAUCUACCACCUCAUUCACGAUGAGGAUAUCAUCAAGAAUUUGUCGAUCUUUCACAAACACAGUCUAUGACUCAGAAAUCGCACUGCCAAUCAUCAUCCUCGGUCUGUUUGAUAAAACUUUUGCCAUAAUUUUAUACAGGCUCCCCACCAACUCAGUGAUAAACCACAUAAUAUUUGCCUAUAAUUUCAGCCAAAAGUCUUUAAUAAAACCAAAAUUUAUGCCAUCGGGAAUCAAAAUUAUGGAAAAUAAAAUUGGGAGACCAAAAUUGCGGAUUUUGUACAAUAGAAGGAUCAAAAUUGCAUUUAACCCUAAUUUCUUAAUUCCCAAUUGCUUCAUGUAUCUUUUUGUAUUUGUUUAGUGAUAUAUUUUGUUAUUUUUAAUUUUCUUCUAGUAGAGGCGUCCAUUCUCUGAUUAUAUUUUCACUCUGUUUUCCUUCUUUGUCAUUUGUUUCUCCUAAAUUGAAUAUUAAAAAAAAAAAAAUAGUGAAUGAUAANNNNNNNNNNNNNNNNNNNNNNNGAACAUUUAAUAAGUAUUGCUAGCUCAUGUCUGUAAUAUAUGUAUUAAUUUCUAGAAUAUUAUAUCUGAUAAUAAAUACUAGAUCGCAUUUCCGUGAGUUGGCACGUGUCAUAUAUAUAUGUAUGCAAAUAAUAAUCAUGGUUAUAUAUAACAAAAUACUAUAUAUAAAUUGGUAAUAAGAAGCUAGCACAUCGUUUAAUCCAACAGGAUCAACUCAACUUCAUAUGAGUUAACUCGUCUAAAUUAUAAAUAAUUCUAAAUAAUUUUUUUUCUUUUUCAAAUUGCCUAGUGGGAUUGAAUGUUGCUAGAAAAAUAGCUUUCCCAUUCAAAUUUACCUAAAGCAUAUGGUUGCUAACAUAAGCUACUCUAUAAUCAAUUAUAAACCAAAACUCCAUAAAAAAUUAUUUCUCUCAA
This 1033-nucleotide long non-coding RNA is filed under the name Trifolium pratense (red clover). Its description in RNAcentral is "long non-coding RNA (TPRA_LNC006204)". The record is from RNAcentral. Lineage: Eukaryota; Viridiplantae; Streptophyta; Magnoliopsida; Fabales; Fabaceae.